This 18454-nucleotide long non-coding RNA is filed under the name Gossypium barbadense (sea-island cotton). RNAcentral's name for it is "long non-coding RNA (GBAR_LNC022448)". Lineage: Eukaryota; Viridiplantae; Streptophyta; Magnoliopsida; Malvales; Malvaceae. The record is from RNAcentral.
UUCCCGUCUUAUCAAAUCAUCUGCCAUUUCUUCUGUGGGACGUUUUCAAAUUCCAAUAGAGGCCUUUUCACCGAACCUUUUGAGUUCCACAUUUCAGCCUCUCUAUUCUUUCUCCUCCAUUUCACCUUCAAUCUAGUUCUCUCGUCUUUUCUUUUUCCUUCAAAUUCUCAGCAUACUCAAGGACUCUUCCUAGCAGGUAAAUCUCGUCCUUCUUCUUUAAUGUCUCCGUUGCUAAUGUAUGUGCCAGGCUAUUCGCUGUUCUUGGAUGUGCUCAAAACAAUAUUUUUUAGAUUUAGCCAGUAGCUGAUGAAUAUCUUGGAUAUAACUUUUUAUCUUGCACUUCUUUAUAAUUGAUAAUGCAUCCCCUUCAAUGAUGAUAUUUGACCAUUGCCUGUAUAUACCAAUUUGAGUUGCUGUCCGGCAAGCAAUUGCUUCGGCAGCAAAAGCUAAUGCGACUUGGUGAUAGAUCUCUAUGAAUGAUAAGAGAACGUUUCCUUCACUAUCCCUAGCCACAAUCCCCAUAGCCGAUUGACACAGAUUCCCAUCAUAUGCUGCGUCAAAGUUAAUCUUCACAAACUGACCAGGUGGGUGUUUCCACUUUCUAACUCCUGUUAAAAUCUUUGGUACUUUUUCUUCAAUCCUAUUAAGUUCAGAAAUGUAUCUCUUAAUAAAACUUGCAAUCUCUUUCCCAUAUUUGUUGGCCUUCUCAUGAACUCUCUUGUUCCUUUCUCCCCUGAUUGCCCAAAGAGCACAACAAAAGAUCCUGCACCGAGAGGGGGUAUUCUGUUCAAAAACCCAGGUGAGCCACUGUAUAAAUUCCAUAUGAGAUACUUGUAAUAACUCCGAGAAUGAUAACUCUUUCCAUACUAAUAUUACAUCAGGACACUCACAGAAUAGAUGAUUCGUGGUUUCUACUGCUCUCCCACACCUAGAACAGAUUACGUUGUUUAAUAGCCUUUUGUGCUGCAAGUUAACCCAUGUUGGUAGAUAAUUCCAUGAUAUUCUCCAAACUGUAAUUUUUAACUUAGAAGGUUAGAUUAAGAAGCCAAAGAUUUCUGUAAAAUUUCCUAUACUCGUUUUGUAAAGCAUAAGCUCUAGGAUCAAUUUCAAUGCCUUGUAAUAGUUUAUAGGCACUUCGCACCGUGAAUUCUCCCGAAGACUCCCCCCUCCAGGUCAGAAAAUCAUUGUGAGGCUCUUUUGCUAACGAAUGCGGAGAAUCUUCUCAACUACCUCCACUGGAAAGUUAGAAUCUACCAACUCUUUUUUCCAUUUUUUGUUGAUAUCAUAAAUUAAUUCUGCAACUUUAAAGUCACGCAAAUUAUUAAUAUGAGAUGAUAAUCUGGAAUAAUUCAAAUCUAGUAUCCAACCAUCAUUAAUAAUUGAUAUUUCAGUACCCUUCCCCACUUUCCAGCAUAGUCCAUCUGUUAGAAUGCCUUUAGUUGCCCAUAUACUCUUCCAUGUGAAAGAACUAUUACUCCUUAGGCGCGAAUUUAAAAAAUUCGUUUCUGGAAAAUAUUUAGCUUUUAAUACUUGUGCAACUAACAAAUUAGGAUUAUUUAGGAUUCUUCAACCUUGUUUAGCUAAUAAGGAGACGUUAAAACUAGACAUAAUCCUAAAGCCCAUUCCUCCAUCUUCUUUGGAUCAACACAUACACUGCCAUUUACACCCAUGAAUUCCUCUUUUCCCCUGUGCCUUUUUCCACCAGAAAUUAGCGAAGAUCCUUUCCAGUUCUCCACAUAGGGAAUUAGGAAGAAGGAAAGAGGACAUGGCGUAGGUUGGAAUAGCCUGAAGUAUUGAUUUAAUGACUAUUUCCUUGCCUCCUUGUGAUAAUAAUUUGGUACUCCAACCUUUAAUUCUGGAAUUGACCUUAUCUUUUAGAUUUUGAAACGACUCCUUUUUACGUCUACCAACCACAUUAGGAAGACCUAAGUACUUUUCCAUAUAUGUUGACCCUUUUACCCCUAAGCUUGUUAAUACUUCACCUCUUUUUUCUAUUGAUGUAUUCGAAUUGAAAAAAUUGUAGAUUUAUCAAAAUUAACACACUGGCCAGAACAUUCUUCAUAUUCUUUUAGAAUUCUUUUUAGCAACCUUGCUCCCUUAUUUGUUGCUUCACCGUACAGUAUGCAAUCAUCUGCAAAAAGUAAAUGUGAAAUCCCUGGUCCUUUUCUACUUGCCUUUGUUCCUUUUAUCAGACCCUCUUUUAUUGCCAAUCUCAUUAAUGCUGAAAGUCCCUCACUACAUAAUAGAAAUAAAAAGGGGCUAAGGGGUCCCCUGACACAACCCUCUAGAAGAUUGAAAAAUCUGUCCCCUUCUUCCAUUAGUAUUGACUGCGUAAGUUGCUGUAGUAAUGCAUUUCAUAAUUAAAUCAACCUAUUCUUUUGCAAAACCCAUUCGCAACAUAACUUCCUUAAGAAAGUCCCACUCGACCCUAUCAUAGGCUCUGCUCAUGUCAAGUUUAAUUGCCAUAUAUCCUUUCUUUCCUAUGCAUUUUCGUUGAAACAUGUGUAGGAUCUCGUAAGCAGUAAAAUGUUAUCAGAAAUUAGCCUACCUGGGAUAAAAGCACUUUGCGUCACAUCAAUACAUCUUCCUAUAACCUCUUAAAGUCUAUUGGCAAUUGUCUUAGCCAUAAUUUUGUAGAGAACCGUACACAAACUUAUAGGUCUGAAUUUUGUUAAGUUUGUAGGGUUCUGGGUUUUUGGAAUCAGUACAAUAUUAGUUGAAUUGAGAGGGCCAAAAUUUUUACUGUUAUUUAAAAUUCUUAGAAAGUAAUGACUUCCUUACCUACUAUAUGCCAAUAUCGUUGAAAAAAUAGUGCUGGAAAUCCAUCAGGUCUUAGUACUUUAGUUGGCUUCAUUACUUUCAAAGCUGAAUACACUUCUUUCGUAAAAUUUGACACUAAAACUUCAUUCAUAUUUGGCGAAAUUUUUUCCUCAAUGUCCGUUAAGAGAUGAGAUAGCUCUCCCACUCCUUUUGACAUAAAUAACUCCUAAAAGAAUAAAGUAGCAGCUUCACUGAUCUUAUUUAGUUCAGUAGCCUCUCCUCUUCCGUCUAACUGUAGCCUCAAUAUAGUGUUUUUUCUACGAAAUGAGGCGUACUUAUGGAAAAAAGUUGUAUUCUUGUCCCUUACUUUAAGUCAAUUCGCCCUUGUCCUCUGCUCCUAUAACAGCUCAAUUUUGGGCCUAGUCGAAACAGUAGUUUCGGGACCACAAAUUUGAUGAGGAAAAAAAUUUAUUUUUAUUAUAUUUUAUGGUCUAAGAUUUCAUGGAAUGAUUUUUUUAAAUUUUUUUUUGAAAAUUUCGACGUUUCGGCACUCAAUUUAGUAAAAAAGAUUAAAUUGUAAAAAAAGUAAAAGUUGAGUUCUACAUGAUAAAAGUGUCCAAUUGUUAUGAAAUUUUAAAUUAGAAGUCCUUAAAUAGAAAUUAGACCAUUUUUAAAUUUUUUGGAAAAAAUGGACAUGAGAUAAGUGAAAUAGGAUAUUUUUAAGUUGGGGACAUUUUGGUCAUUUAGUAAUUAAAAGAAUUAAAAAGACCAAAAUAACCAAAUAUUUUUCCAUCUUCAAGCCUUGGCCGAAUUUCAAAAGGGGGAGCCAUAGUUAGGGUUUUCAAGCUUCCAAGUUCCAUAAUAAGUGAUUUCAAGCCCCGUUUUUAAUGUUCUUUACGUUUUUAGAGUCCCGGUAACUUGAUUUAGCUUAUUCUAGUUAUAAUUUAACCUAUGGUUUAUAUUUGAAAAAAUAACUUUUGUUAAGCAAUUUUAACUGAAAACAAGUAAAACGACAUAAUCGGUAAAAAUACCUAAUAUUUAUAAGUAAGUGUUAGAGUGGGAAUUCGAUGUUGCCAUAGAAGGAAAAAAUGUUCAGUAUGUCAUAAUACAUAAGAAUAAGGGAUGAAGUUUAAUUUACGAGUUUUGGGGUAAAAGUGUAAAUAUGUAAAAUUUAGGAGAAAAUUGUAAUUUUUCCAAAGUUUGGGUCAAGGAAUAUUUUGAUAAAUGUGAGUAUUAAAUAAGUUAAAUGUGUUAUUAUAGGUCAAGAAAGAAGUGGAAUCGACCUUAAUCGGAGAAAAGAAAAGAUUAAAGACUAAAUUGCUAAAUUUUUAUAUUGUUGCACCAAAGCAAGUUCCCUGUAAAUAAUAACAAUAUAUUUUUAUAAAUUGUGAAUUAUAUUUGAUAUGUGAAUUAAUAUUGAAUGCGAAAGUAAAAUUGUUAAUGAAUCAUUCAAGUGAUAAAGUGUUUAAAAUAAAGUGUUAAGUGUAAAUUCUCGGUUAAACUUAGGAAUAGAAGUGGAUACAAGUGACAUAUCACUAGAGACCAGUGUUACAGUGUUACAGUGUUACAAUGAGUCAUAAGUGCUGGGUGAUCUAGCAUGUGUUGCAGAUACUUAACAGCUUGUGUGAGCAGGCCCGUGGACAUUUCUAGUGUUAUUGAUCAGUGGUAGCUUCGGCUACAUUUUAAUGGUAGCUAUGACUACAUAUCAAUGGUAGCUUCGGCUACAUUUCAGUGGUAGCUAUGACUACGUAUCAGUGGUAGCUUCAGCUACAUAUCAGUGUGGCACUUAUGUGCUAAUUAUCUACGUAUUCGUGUAUAUUCCGAGUGUUCAACGAGAAGUUGACUAAGUGAAAAUACAUGAGAUCAUGUAACGAUUAAGCGUAAUUGAAUGAUGAAUAUAUGUGUGAAAUUGAAUUGAAUAGUGAUCGAAAGUGAAAAAGUGAAAUUGUGAAAUAGUAGAAUUAGCAACAAAAUAGUUUUGGACAAAAACAGUUGUGUAACUUUGCCAUAAAUGGUCGAAAUCGAAUUAAGUGGAUAAGAUAUGAAAUGAAAGCUUAAUGAGUCUAUUUUUACAUAAAAAAAUAGAGCAAGCAAAAGAAUUAUAAAUUUUUAUACAUUUUAAGUUUAGUGAGACAGGGUCAAAAUGAGUUUGGAAUCCCCUAUUCUGACUUUGGAAAAUUGUUAAAAAUUUUAUAAAAAUAAUUACGGGCUAAAUUUUAUAUGUUUAAAACCUUGAAUGAGUCUAUUUUCAAUUUAAAUAAACAUAAGUACCAUCCGAACUCUGUACAGUGAGAUAAUUAAUUUUUAGUGAAGAGGUCAGAACUGUCGAGUAAUGAAAUAGGGGAAAAUUUAAAGAAUAAACUGUACUUAUUGGUUAAGCCAAAAAUUCUAAAAAUUUUAUGGUAAAAAGAUAUGUGAAUUCAGUUUCAGGUAAAAUUAACGGAUCUUAAUUUGGAGCUCUGUAGCUCCGAAUAAAAAUAAUUUAGUGACUCUGACUGGGAUAGACAACUUUGAAUAUAUAGUAAAAAUAUAGAAAAUGUUAUUUAUAAGAGUGUUAUGUACAUUAAGGAUGUGGAAUGAAGAGGAGGAGGAAAAAUAAAAUAUAUGAAUAAUUUGUAUAUAAAUUAGUCAUAUGCCGAUUAUAUUUGAUAAAUGUUGAAUUAGAAAUGACAAUGUUUCAUUUCAAUUAGUUAUUAUGAAUUGAAUUGUAAAUUUAUAUGGAUGAAACCAAACAAUUAUUUGUUAGUAUUAUGCAUGACAUAAUGUAUUAUUCUAUAUAUAUAUUCAUGGUUGAAUUAUGAUUGUUGAGAAAGAUAGAUAAAUUGGAAAGAAAAUUAAAAUUGAGUAGAACGCAGUGUUGAGUACUUUCGUUCAGUGAUAAAGACAAAUUGACGAAAAACACCAUGGAUGGACCAUGGCAAUAAGUGAUAUGUAAUUCUGUGUAAGACCAUAGUUGAGCUAUGUCAUCGGUAGAUGUUAUGUGAUUACGUGUAAGACCAUAAUUGGACUAUGGCAUCGAGAAAAUAAAGUACUCAAUUCCGUAAGACAUUCACUAAUUUGACAAAGUUGGUAAGUGUUACAUAGACUCACACUCAAGUGAUAGAUUUAUUGUGAUCGUUAAAGUUGAAUUCAAUUAAGUGAUUUCACCAAUUGGAUAUUGUAUAUGGCAAGAUGUGUUAGUGAAUUACAUAUUUAUGAAAUGAUAUUUGAAGUUCAAUAAGUGAUAUAUGAAAUUAAUAUAAAAAGAUUUAUGAUUGUUAUUAGUAUUGUUUCUGACUUAAUGUGAAUUCUUUGAUGUUGAAAUGAUUUAACGAAUUUAUUGAGCAUAUGAAUGAGUAUGAGACUCAUACGAGUUAGUAUAGAUAUGUACAUGUGUCUUAUAAGCUUUGAAAUGAUAAGACUUGUAAAUUGUGAAUUAAUCUGUGUGAAAGUAUAUGGGAUAGAUUAGCGAAUCUUUAUAAGAUAUUGAAUAUUUAAUAUAUUACAAUGGUUUAGUAGGAAAAAUAUGACGAUACGAGAAUAUGAAAUGAUACGGAUAAAUUCAGGUACUCGCGAGAAGUAAGUAAUAAUUGAUAAAUUCAUAUGAUGAGAAAGUAAAGGAUUAUAAGUUAAUAUAUGGCUAUGAAAUGAACAAAUGGUGAUAGCUAUAAGGCUUGAAUCGAAUGAGUAUAUAUAUUGGGCCUUGUAAGCCUUAAUUAGCGAUUCGAAGAUAAUAAUUUGAAAGUUUUAAUCUGUAUGAAAUUUUAUAACUCAGUUUAAUAAGUUUAUAAAUGUAUGUGUUUUGGUAAUGCCUCGUACCCUAUUUCGGCGUCAAAUACGGGUAAGGGGUGUUACAAUGUGACAUCGCUAGAUUCAGCCAUAACGUUUAGGCCAAGUUUGGGGUGUUACAAUUCCUAAUAAAUUUCAUCUCUAUCAAUUUUCAUAUUCAGGUGAACCUUAGUAUCAAUAAUCUUUGCCAUUGUAUCAUCAUUUCUUUCUUCCUCCAGCAACAUCUUAAGUUUCUUAGUAAGCUUUUUCUUUAACCCUUCUCGCUCUUUUUUAAUUGAUCUUGCCCAUUUCUUUAGAUUUGAUUGUAGCUUUUCCAGUUUCUCCAAUAUAGUACCUGUAGAUGAUUCUAAAGAUGCUUUAAUUUCUCCCUCAAGAGACUCUUUCAUGGUCCACCACACCUCAAAUUUAAACCAUGGACUCCCCACAUAAGUGUUUCCACUUUUUGUAUUAAGAAGAAUUGGACAAUGAUCAUGCAUCUAAUGAGUUAAGUGAUGAAAUUUUCCCGUUGGAAAAAGAUUCCUCCAUUUAUCAUUAGCCCUAUCCAGUCUUUCUCUGAUAUUUGUUUUUGGCAAAUCUCCCAUUUCCUAUGUAAACCAAAACCAUGUAUAUCUUAAAUCUUCUAAUUGACAUUCUUCUAGGGUCUCUCGAAAUGCCUCUAUUCGUCUUUCAUCUCUUGGUAACCCUCCACUUUUCUCAAAAGAAUACAUAAUUUCAUUAAAAUCCCCACUUACAAACCAUGGGUACCUCUUAUCUUGUCCUAAUUUUCGUAGUAGAUUCCAAGAAGCAUUCUUAUUACUAACAUAAGGAGAGCCAUAAAAUCCUAUAAGUCUCCACUCUCUAUUACCAUUCUCCUCCAUAACCAUUGCAUCAAUGUGAUUCCUGGAGAAACUUCUUAAAGUAACUGUGAUCUUUCCUUUUCAUGCUAAACAUAAACCACCUCGGGAACCUUCUACGUCAACAUCAAUCCCAUUCUGAAAACCACUUCUUUUGACCUUUUCCAUACAUUGGUUAUUUAUUUUUGUCUCCAUUAAAAAGACCAUCUGGGGAUUAUGCUACUUUAAAAAGUAUCGCAGCCUUCUAGCUAUCCGUGGACUCCCCAAUCCACGAACGUUCCAACUAAUGCUUUUUAUUGCGUUUGAUCGGCUUGUCUCUUGGCAGCAGUCGAUCCUAUAAAUAGUUGAACAUCACUCUGCUCCAUAGCAUUAAUCAUUGUUUCUGAUAACAUUUCUCCACAUACCUUUUCUCCAUCUUUUUUCAGCCUUUUAGUUCUGUCUUCAUACGCAGCUUCUACACUACAAAUCUCAAAUUCGUCUUCACAAGCUUUCCUCUUCCUAGUACAACUUUCAUCCUUUAGCUGAGUCAUCAUUUGUACUGGAGCAAUUCUUUUCCAACUUUCCUUUUUAGCUGAGUCAUCAUAGAUACUUCCUCAUGUUUCUUCAUCAUCUUCUCUUCACCACUCGAUUGUAGUCUCUCGAGCAUCAUCCCCUUCAAACUAUUCACUUCUCCAGUUAUUUUAACUUUGAUCGCCUCCACCUCAAAACCACCUAUAUAAGAGCAUUGAGCCUUAACCUUUUUUGAAAAAUCAUUAAAUUUAAUACUUUCCUUCCCGAUUAAGUUUGAUUCUGCUUUUAGUGCUAGUACGUAUGGUGGAUCCUCUCUGAUUUUAAUUUUUUCUACAGGAUUCAACUCACUAAAAUCUAAAAGGCCAUGCCCCACCCUUCCACAUCCAAAGCAAAACAUUGGUAAUUUCUCAUACUUAAAAGAAAUCCACCAUUUAUUCAUAUUAUCCAUUGAGACAAAAAUACCUCGUCGAAGGGGUUUCUACAUAUUAAGGUUUAUUUUAAGGCGACACCAUUCUCCACUAAUUUCAAAUCUAAGCACCCCUCCAAAAGUGACACCUAUGGCGUGUAAUAGAUCUUUUUCUUAUCAAAUUCUGGUAAACAUGGACCUAUCUUUAACCAAAAUGUUGAUGAGUUAAGUCGAAUUUGAGAUCUUUCAACCAAUUGAAUUAACCUAUUAAAUAAAAUAAGAAUUUUUCGGAACAGCCAUGGUCUUCCCUUCAUAAUUAGCUCCAAAUCUUCUUCUAACUCAAACACGAUCAAAAAUAAAUUUUGCCCUGCCGUCUGAAUCUCAAACUUCUUUUUUGUUUUCCUUAUGCUCUUCAUCUGUGCCGUAAAACUCUCCAGGUUGUAAAGCUUCUAUGUCCAAAUUGUACAAAUCAAAGUUGGUUUCACACUCGGAACCACCUUCGACCCUUUGAUAGAUAGUUGAAUAAGUUCUUCUGUUAGGAGGGAAAUCUCAUCCCUCUUCUCUCUACCGUCACCACCACUUUCCCCCAUCCCAAGCCGCAGCAGUUACUGCCUUCUCUAGGACUCUCGGUAAAGUACUCUUGGUUUUUUUUAGAAAAGGAAGAAAAGUAUCAAUAUUUUAAUUAUAUAAAUAUAAGUGCAUGUUUAAAUUAUGUGUAGCUUCAUUUAUUCCUUCAAAUAUUAAUGUGUCACAAUCCACUCUUAUAUAUCUAAUAUAUGUAAUUUAAAUUAAGUUUUAAUUAGGUUCUAUUUAUUAUUAAGUUUAUAUAUGAUAUUAAUUAUUAUAAAACAAAUUUUCAUUGUCAAAAGGAGAUGCUAUUAUAAUAUUUUCUAACAAAUAUAUUUAAGUGGUGCUUGUUUUAAACCUAUCCAUGAGUUGGGUGGUUGGCCUAGUUUAACUUGAGCGGGUUUGGGCAUAGAUUUUAUCCCCUCAAGCCGGGUUGGUCCACCCCAAUUUAAAAUUAAAUGUUUUUAUUUUAAAUUUUUUAUAAUAUAUAAAUAUUAAUUUAACAUAAUAUAUUUUUAUUAUUUUAUUAUUUUUUUAAAUAGCGAUAUGGGCAAGUUGAGUCAGUCAGGGCUCGAGUCCGAGUAUGAAUUUUUUUAAAAAAAAUUUUGAGCCAUGGCUCAGCCCGACCCAUGAAUAUGUCUAAACUUGUUUCACUAAGAACUAGUUUUACAUAAUGAUUUUAGGAAAAUAUGGUAAACAAUUAAAAAUAUUUUACCCAAAAUAUUUUAAACACCAAAAAAUAUCAAAUUUUUCAGAAAAUUAAUCCAUCUUUCAAAAGUUAUUUUCGGAAAGCUGUUUUUAAUUUUUUUUAAAUAGAAAUAUUUAUUAAAUACAAAUGUAAAACAUAAAUAUAUUUGGAGUAAGUAUUGGGAGAGCAUAAUUUUCCACUAUCAUCAUACACAUCCUUGUUUUCUUUUCUUCUGCCGCACAGCAGGUUGACAGUCCACCACCACUUCUUAUAAUAAUCAGAAAUUUUGAUUGUUUUUCCUAUUCAACUUAUAUAACUGAAUAUCAAAUCCUGAUUCUAACUUAGUAGCUCUAUCUCGUAUUCGCAAUCAUAGUGGAUAGAGAUAUUGUUAUUAGAGUAGGGAGGAAAACGGCAUGAGCAGAACAAGAUAUGGACAUGAUAAACUACAUUGAACUUGGAAAUUAAUACAAUACAUGACAGCAUUUUGAAGUUCUAACAAUAUUAACUUCAUGCUAAGAUAAGGGAGAAGAGUGGAAGAAGAGGCAGAUGGCUGAAAUAUCAUCCAUUGCAAUGUCCUUCCUCUUCUUUUUCCAAGCCCGGACUGCAUACUCCACUAGCUGCUUAGCUGCUUUCUGCUUGUCCGGUGUCGAAGAUACUAUUUGAACUGCUUCCUGAUUGGAUACAACAUCCCAUACCUGCAGAACAAAGCUUUAGUCACAGAUCAACAGCAUUGCCAUUUUAUCAACUUUGAUCAAACCCUUAGUUAUAUAUGCAUACCCCGUCGGUAGCCAGCACCACGAAUUGGUCUCUGCAGGUUAUAUGUCUUUGUGUGACUUCUGGAACCGAAAUAAGACCGUAAUCUUUUAUGCAGUAGUCCCCGAAAGCUCUCGACAUCGCCAGCCCUGGUGACUCCUCAUCAGGUAGCCAAACCCUGUGCACCCCUGGCUCAUCAUGCAGGCAGAAAACUCGACCUUUGCACUGAACUAUUCGCUCGGCCUCCUCUGCAAGCAACAUCAACCGAAAACAUAAGGAUUCUUAAUGGCUUCUCUUUCCAACAGUUUUAGAGAGUGUGGCGAGAACUCACAAGGUAAAUUCGGCUUGAAAUCGACGGUAAGCUGAACAGGAACCAAGUUUCCAUCAUCUGAUGUUGUAGCCAGAACAGCCCGAGAAUCACCAAUGUUGGCUACAUAUAUGAGGUCACCCUGUCCAAUAUAAAUGUCAAAUUAUUCUCAAAUAUCAUGAUAGUUGAAGCAAAUACCCAGAGUAUGCCAUAAUAAGAGCUUAGUUUACCUGUCUGACAAUUGUUAAGGCAGUUGUUCCACUGUAAAAGGAAUCGAUCUUCCUAUGCUGCUCCAGCUCGUGAUCAACUGCUGCACAAGUCCUCAGAUAAGAAUGCUUCCAUAUAUGAAACCUCUGAUGCUUUUUAUCAGACUCUAAAUCGAUCUCCGGGUCGAGGGAUGCCUGAGCUAGAGUUUCUUGCCAAUUGCAAAGCAGCGAUGAAGGCAUUGAUUCUCGAACCUUUUUGGCUACAAAAUGACCCCAUGGACCAUGCCCAUCAAAUAUGCCGCAAAACAACAUGUCUGCUUGACAUCCAAAUUCCUAUUCCGAGUAAACAAAAGCCACAUUUAUGAAUCAUAAAAGGGAGUCAAUUUACAAGGUAUACAAAGUAAACACUCAAUGUUUUAUACCUCCCAUACAAUGGCACAAUCCUGGUUCACUCCUUUCCUGCCUCUCUUGGAGAAAACUGAGGCCAAAUUGUUGGAACCAUCGACAUUUACAGAACCAGAAGACCUCAAAAUCAGGUCAUUUUUCUUUGCAUCCUUUGCCAUUGCCUCAGCAGCUUCUUUUCCAUCACCAUUCCCUGAAUUUUUCCCUCUUAUUGACCUUGCUAACCCAUUGAACAUGGAAGAAAAUUGCCUCAUUGUCUCUACCAUUCAAUACCCACUACCAAAAACAGAAAAAAAGAGCCUGCUUUCCUUAUUGUAGAUCCAAAGUCUGCCCACAGAAAACAAAUAAAUAGUGACAUAAAGUUACAGACAAGUAAAAGAAGCCUUGGGAAUACUUUCUUUUUCUAGUUUUUGUUUGCUUUAAACCCUUGCUCCAGACAUAGUAGGUAGAAGGUUAAAAGAACAUUGAACUUGAGUAAUACAGUUAGCCAAGAAAAGACAUAAUCCGACUCAGAAAGGUAGGAAUCUAACAAUUUAAUAACAGUAAAAAAAUUAGAACCUGUUGUUAAUGUGAAACACUUUACAGAGAAUAUUCAUCAUGACAUGGAACUCUAAUAGAAAUUUGAAAGAGGCUAAACAAGUGCCGGCUAGUAAAUAGAUAAACUCAAUACUUGAGGCUUAGCUGGCUAUACCCCAUCAAAAGGUCUGUUUGGUUGCUGAGAGAGGAUAAUGGGAACAAAAGGGCAAACCAGAAAUUGCAAAGUUGUAGUAUGUUCAAGGACAGGUGAGUGGCCACUUGAAAAGUAAAAAAAAAAAGGGAAAUCUAGAGUUCACUAGAACAUCAAGUUAGUUGAAAUUUCCCUUUAUGGUAAAGGCAAAAACUAAAAGGAAGAGCUUUCUGUUUUUCCUUAGAUAAUAUGAUAUAUUUUCGAUUUUCCAGAAAAUCAAAGAAAAAUAAAAUUUAACGUGCAAAGUUACUGGAGUAACACGACUUUAAAAUUUGCACAUUAAAUCGUAGUACUAGUUUUUCUCUGAUGAUACCUAUAAAUUAAUGUCGAGUACUAAGAUUUGAUAAUAGUUUCCUUCUCUCUCUCUCUCUCACAAAUCCAGAAACCAGGCUUUUCUUUCACUUUCUCAGCAAUCAAACAAGCCAGUCCAACCAGACAGAAAAAAUGCAGCAAGAUCAAACCCAGAAAAAUGGAAAAGAGAAGCUGUAAUUAGACUGGGAAGCUAAUGCAAGCAACCAGAAUGUGAUAACUUGAUCUUUACGAGAAAAGCUAAGAAACUGAGAGGUAGAAGAUGGAGAAGGAUGAGAAAAGAUGGGCAUACUUAAAAAGAAAGAAAAAUUCCUUCGUUUGGUUCUGGAUUUUUAAGCUCCAAUUCUUAUCUGUGAAGAAGAAUAAAGAAACAAAAGAAGCAGCAAGCUUUGUAGAUGCAAAGUAGCAAGCACAAGCACUUCCAUUUUUCUGUUCUAAGAACGUUAAAGUUAAAAACCCAGACUUCCUUCUUUGCCUUCCUUAUCCGACAACAUUUUUUUUGCCCUGCCCUUUUUCGUUAAACCUUUUAUAAGCUCCUUUAGCUUUCUUUUGGUUUCCCUUUUUAUAAUAUGAGGUUUGAAUUUGGUUUAUUUAGAUACAGCUCAUGAUUUGGUGUGUUUUAUAAUUUAUUCACAUGCAAUUCAAGCAUUAAUUUUUGAAUAAAAAGAUUACUAGAAUUUAAUUGUAGAUUCUUGUGGAGUUUAAUAAUACUUUAUUAUAUAUAUAUAUAUUAUAAAAAUUGGAGGAAACAUGAGAAUGACAAAUUUUGAAUUUUGGUGUUGCUCUCUACAACAUUAAUCACAUCUUGUAUCAUUUCAGUAGCAUAAAUAUGAUCAUUAAAAUUUAGGGUAAACUAUAAAAAUAGUCACUUAUAUUUGAAAUGUUACGUUUUAGUCAUUUACAUUAUCGUUCUGUUACGAAGUGGUCACUCUACCGUUAAAUUCCGUUACCUCCCUAAUGGCAAUCCUACAUGGCAGUCCAAAUGAGUUUUAAAUGCCAACUUGGAUGUCUAGUUUUUCGGAUAAAAAUAGGUUUUUAAUUAAAUAAAUUUAAUUUGGACAGCCAUGUAGGACAUUCAAGUUGGCAUUUAAAAUCUACUUGGGCUGCCAUGUAGGACCACCGUUAUGGAGGUAACGGUAAAGUGACCACUUCGUAACAAAACGAUAGUGUAAGUGACUAAAACAUAACAUUUUAAAUAUAAGUGACUAAAAUGUAAUAUGAGACAAACAAAAUUAACUAUUUUUAUAGUUUACCUUAACUUAAAACUAUUGUAUUUCUUUUAACAAUAACAAUAAGCAUCUAAUGAUCUUAUUGCUAGUGCAACCUCGACUUGAAGAAGGGGGGACGUUAGAAAUUUUGAAUUUUAUUAUAUAUCAAUUUGAUUUAAAUUUAUUUUCAAUUGAAUUAAUUAUUAAUUCAACAUUUAUAAUGAUUGAUUGAGUAUAGGUAUAAUCUUCAAUUUUUAAUCUUGAAUGUUUAUGUUUUUUUUUUUCAAUUUAAUCUUUAUUUUUUAGUUAAAUUUGGUUCUCAAUCUUUUAAAAAAUGUCGAAUUUGACUAUCAACUUUUCAAAAAAAAAGUUAAUUUGUUGUUUUUAACGAAAAUACUGACUAAAAAAUAAAUUUUUUAAAUAUGGUAGCUUGAAUGACAAUUCACUUAUAUUUCAUGUUAAUUUUAUUUUUAAUUUUAUGAACUUUUAAUAUUUUGAUUUUUUUAAAAAUUAUUUGUUGACAAUGGCAUAUACGAGAAAUAGUACCAUGACAACAUGAAAGUACAUAUGGAUUGCCAUGCAAGUUGUCACACCAAUAUUAUUAAAAAAAAUUAAUAUUUUAGUCAGCAUUUCAGUUAAAAAGAGCAAUCUAACUUUUUUUCUGAAAAGUUGAGGGUUAAAUUUGGCGGAAAAAAAAAAGAAAAACAACCAAAUUGACAAAAGAUGUAAACAUUGAGAGCUAAAUUUAACAUUGAGUAUAAUUAUAAGUUGUAAGUAAGUUAGAAAGAUUAAUUAUGAAAAAUAAAAGGGAUAAAUACCAGAACUAUAUAUGAACUAUGGUUUAAUGUGUAAUAGUAUACAUGAAUUUUGAUUUUGUGUAAUUUUAUAUAUAAAAUUUUGAUUUGAAUUCUUGUAAAUUAUUGAUAUAAUAUUAUUUUGUGUUUAUUAGGAUUUUAUGUGUAUAAUUAUACCAAAUUAAUUGAUAAAUGGGGCAAACAUAGUGCAGCAACAAAAACAGCUAAUCUUUGGCCAACACUUGAUGUUAAGUAAUAAUUUCCCGAAAGCAAUUGGUUUGUCUUUAAUGUAUGAUGUUAGUCAAUGUUCUCCAACUCCAUAGGAACUUUCAUUUUCAUACCACCUUACCAAUUUCCAAAUGAACUAAUAUGGAAAAUAAUUGCAAUUAACAAACGACAUCGAUGCAUGAAUGUAUCAUAAAAUUAGAUAUUAAGCAGCAUCAUAGUAAAAAUAUAAUAUCAACAUGAUAAAUUACAGAACCAACAUAACACUACAUCAUAAGAAUGACAUAAAUACAACAUGCAUGCACAUAACAUGCAUAAAAUGAACAAACACCACUAUAUGCAAAAAGAAAUUAACACAAUACAAUAGGAGUACAUAAAUGUAACCAAUUCAAUAUAAAUAAAUUGUUAUCCUGUAAAUCUUCAAUAACUUUUUAAUAUUUUAAAUUAAAAAUCAAAUUUUUCUACCUUAAGAUUUUAAUUUACUAUAAUUACCUUCUUAAAAAUUAGCCUUGCUCAAUUUCCAAUUAACCUAUCCUAAGCAUUGGGAUAGCUUUUAUAGAUUCUUACAGGUUUUUGUUUGCCUGACUUUGGCAUUUGUUGCAUUUGCAGCUGAUGACUCAAAAGCAAAGUUGAUCUUUAAUUAACCAAAUCUUAGGUACAGUCUCAAUCAUGCAAAAUCUCAAUGUCCAAUAUAAUAUCAUACUUCACAUUUGACUGAAAGAUUCGCAUAAAUUCCCAUGCUAAAGCUCAAUAUAAUAAAUGUUCAUAUGUUAUUAUUAGUUUUUGUAUAUUUUGAAUUUUAAAAUUUUAAUCUUAACUCAAAUGAUAGAUACGUAGUAGAUAAAUUCAUUAGAUCAAAUUAUGUACAAUACAUAAGUUAUGGAUUUUGUCCAUAUUUUUCAAUUUGAUCAUUACUAGUUCUUAUACAUUUUAAAUUUUAAAUUUUCAAUCUUACAUGUAACACCUCAUACCCGACCCGAUCACCAGGUCCGAAUUACAAGGUAUCACAUUGGUUGUCGGAGCAACUAUGAUCAAGUCACAGUUCAGUUUACAACAUUAAACAUCCAGAUAUAAGUCAAACAUGUGUAUAAAACGAUUCGUAUUCAUUCUCGGGUCUUAUACGAGGUCGAAUAUAUAUGGCUAGAAUUAUGGUAUUUCCAUCAAUAAUUUGUUUAUUGUUGAAUUAUAUGUAGUUACAAGAUGUGGAGGUGAGAGAAAGCGCAUGGUUUUUAAGACAACUGCUCGUCCGGACUGAAGAGGCUGAAGAUUGGUCACUUUGUUUGGGACCCCUUCCACAGUAAAGUCCAUCCAUGUCGGUAACAUGCACCUCUCCCUCAUGGGAAACCUCUAAAUAAUUGAGUUUUUGUGUUAUUAUUUCACAUGUGUCUCAUCUCGUGUUGGAAUAAUUGUUUUUUUAUUGGGUGAUGUAGCAGAGUACACUUCAACAUACCCGCGUGUGUCAUGUAAAAUUAAAAAACACUUUUAUUUUGAAAUGAUUUGAUAAAAACAUCUAAUUUUAAAGAUUAAAAAAGAUAAAAAGUUAAAUAAAUUAUUAAAAUAUUUUUUUUAUAAAAUUAAAUGUGUAAAAGUUAUUUUAUAUUGGUUUUAAAUCAGUUUUACGGAUUUCAUUUAGAGGUGAUCAUGGGCCGGGACGGGCCUAGACAAAAUUUUAGGCCCGAGCUCGGCCCGAAAUAUGAGCCUAAAAAUUUAUCUAAGCCCGGCCCAAAGAAAAUUGCUAAACCCGAGCUCGGCCCGACCUGACCCAUAUUAAAUUUUACAACACAAAAAAAGUAUAUAUAUUUGAUUAAAAAUAAAAAAUAUAUAUUUAAUAUAUAAUUCGGGCCGGACCUGGCCAAAAAAUUUUUACUCGAGGCCUGAAAAUGGGCCUCGUUUUUUGCCCAAACCCAUAUUUCGGGCCUAUAUUUUUACCGGAACCCUCCUAUUUUUCAGGCUGACCGCCGGGCCAGGCCGGAUAGCCCAACCCAUGAUCACCUGUAGUUUCAUUCGGGACCAAUUCCUAAUUUUUUUUUUUUUGUUUUUUAAGGAAAUUUAUUUAUUUAUUUUAUUAUGAAUUUAUGAUGUAAAAGUUAAAGAGUAUACAUACCGUUUAUGGAAAUAUUGAAAAGCAAAUAAUGAUUGACAGUUGCCCCACUCCUAAUAUUUUUAAGUUAAAGCAUCAAUAAUUGAUAAUCUAUAUAACCUCUUUUUUGCAUUUUAUAAAAAUUGUUAAAUAUCAGAUUUGGUCCCUCUAAUAUGCCUAGUUUUGAUAUUUAAUAUAUAUACUUUACUUUUUACCAUAAUUUAGUCUCUAUAUGUUUAGAAUGUUUUUAAUUAAUCCAAAUAGUUAGUAUCGUUAACUCUUCGGUUAAAACAUUACGUGGUUAUAUAUAAUUUGAAUACCCUAAGAGCCCUUAAGACUAACACAUGACUUCUCAUUUCUUUUAGAUUUGACUAUUUUUGACAAUAUAAGACAAUGAUCAAAUUUUAUUUUUGGCCUCUAGAUUAUGCUGAAACUUGAGAACUAAUUUAUAUACUUCAAUUUUUAACAUAAUUUGGUUUAUCUACUUUUAUAAUAUCAUUAUGUUAGUUUGAAUAGUUAAUCUUCUUAAUUAUUUCAAUCAAAAUGCUGAAGUCAUUUUUUCUCAAGAACACUAUUCUAAUAGAAAAAAAAUAUUUUAUCGUGACAAUUUUGAACGAGUGUUUUUUAGAAAAAAAAUCAUAAUAUUAUUUUCAAUGAUAUUUUUAUUGUUAUAUGACUAUCAAGAGAAUAUUUUUAAAAAAAUCAAAAUUCCACACCAAAAAGUGUAAUAAAAGAAUUUUAACGAUAAUAAACUACAUUGUAAAAAAAUUGAGGUACCAAGUUAUGUCAGAAAGUUGAAGUAUAAAGAUUGAAUAUUAAAUUCAAGUGUAGCACAAGGAUCAAAAUUGAAAUUUGACCAUUUUUCUAUAUAAUGCAAAAAAUUGACACAAACAAAUAAUCAACCUCUCAUUUUUUUGUGUUAUACGAGAAAAAGGUAAAUUUUCAAUUUUAGUCCCUAUGUUACACUCAAAUUUUAGAUUAUAUAAAAACGAUCAAAUUUCAAUGUUGAUCCCUGUGCUACACUCAAUCUUUGUACUUCAGUUUUUUUUUUACAUAAUUUGGUACCUCAAUUUUUACAAUAUUAUUCAUUAUCUCAAAUACUUUUCUUUGAUUAAAAUGUCAUGUAACUUUUAAGAGUUAUUUAAAUUAUUUGUUAAAUUCAAAUUCAUUGCAAUACCCUUUUUUUUUUUUCACAUGGCUACUAAUUGAGUUUUUUUUUUUUAAAUAUCAAAAUGUCACACCAAUGAAUUUAAUAGAACAAUUUAAUGGUGUUAAUAAUUGAAUUUGAAUUUUAUUUAUAUUCACAUUUAAUUUUUAAUAUAUACACAUAAUUCUUAAUUAUGAAAAUCAUAAUUUUAUUAAAAUUAGUAACUACACAAAAUUCUAUUUAAUUCUUAUACCACAUUUACUUAAUAAAUAAGAAAUUCAUUACCAUAUGUAUUACAACUAUUUUCUUUUAAAAAUUCCUUUCUUACAACUAUUUUAAUAUUGACAACUUUAUAAAUACAAAGUUUUUUACACAAAAUGUGAAAUAUUACACAAUUAUUGUUAUGCUAAUAUUGCUAUAAAUGAUAUUAUGUCAUUUUAAUUAAAGAAAACACACGUUUUCAAGAUUAUACACAUGUUAAUUAAUUAUUAGCUUCCUUUUUAAAAUAAGACUUACAACAAUAUUUUCAAAUCGUUUGUUCAAAUAUAGAUUUUUUUAAAAAAAUCAGUUUUCAGAAAAGAUAUAGAAAAGUAUUGGGUCUAUUAUUCCAGCACGUUUGUGUCUGCUUUGCGAGCACGCUUAGGUCCUUUUUCUUUGGUUUUCUUAUUUCAUUUUUCUUCUUUCUCCUUUUGGCAACGAUUAUUGUUCUAGUUGGUGGAGUGGAUUAAUGUUUAUUUGAUCUACAACUAUGGAGAAUGAGUUGG